CUUACUAUUGUACGGGGUGUUGUUUGUAUUGCAAGAGCGGAAGGAUGUGAACUGGUCAUCAAUAUCAAAGGAACCCAGACGGUUAGACUGGACUCAAUAGAUUUGAUUCGCAGAGCCUUUACAUCGCCUUGUUAUCUUCAUUAUGCUGAGAUGCCAGAGUUAUCCAACCUCACCAUCACAGAGAUUAACAACAUCCCCGUGCCCAUCGGCUCUCAAGCAAACCAGAUUGACAAAAUUAUGAAGGAAGCCCUGGAGACCUCAAGAGGAAUAAUAAUACUUCGUGCUGUUCCACAAUCGUUGCUGGACGAUUUGGCCGAAUAGGAUGAUUAUAUGCAGGAAGAGCAAGCACAUGACAUCUUGGAUGAAUAAUAUUGCACUAUUAAAAAUUCAAUAAGAUAUUUCUUCGAAAACUAGAAGAUCUUCAUUCUAAUCCCCAAAGAUCUCCCCUCUUAAACUUGGAGAUCUUUCUUCUACAGGAGAUGUCUGUACAUCAGGGAACAGCGUUUAAAGGUGAAAUUCAGAGAAAAUCACAAAUAUGUCAACUAUUGUAUCACUAGAAACUGGUAAACUAACAGAGGGCCAUCGUACAAGUUAUAGGUCAGCUACAUAUUGGGUUAUUUAUAAAAAUACAAAUACAACCACCUCCAUAGCAGCUGGGAUAUACGAGAGACUCGCCGGAAAAAUAACGA
Long non-coding RNA from Strongylocentrotus purpuratus (purple sea urchin), 689 nucleotides. RefSeq lists it as uncharacterized. NCBI's taxonomy places the organism in Eukaryota, Metazoa, Echinodermata, Echinoidea, Camarodonta, Strongylocentrotidae. The transcript is spliced from 3 exons. The record is from RefSeq and is a predicted model, not a curated record.